RNAcentral lists this ribosomal RNA (301 nucleotides) under uncultured bacterium. RNAcentral's name for it is "partial 16S ribosomal RNA". It matches the Rfam family "Bacterial small subunit ribosomal RNA", at positions 509 to 807 of the family's 1533-position model. The record is from RNAcentral.
CAGUCGCCGCGGUAAUACGAACCGUGCGAACGUUAUUCGGAAUUACUGGGCUUAAAGCGCGUGUAGGCGGGUCGGCACGUCGGUCGCUGAAAUCCCCCGGCUCAACCGGGGAAGUGGCGCCGAUACGGCCGGCCUGGAGGGGGGUAGGGGGACCUGGAACCUCCGGUGGAGCGGUGAAAUGCGUUGAGAUCGGAAGGAACGCCCGUGGCGAAAGCGAGGUCCUGGACCCUUUCUGACGCUGAGACGCGAAAGCCAGGGGAGCGAACGGGAUUAGAUACCCGCGUAGUCCCUGUCUCUUAUA